CACUGUCGGACAUGGCGGAAGACUGCUCCUGCUCCGUGUGACGCUCUUCUUCCGAAGCUGGGGGGGAAAAAAAGUGUCAAGAUCUCAGCAGCGUUCAGGAGGAUACGGCAUCCGUUACAGACAACUACAAAACAAAUGCUCCAAGCUGAAACUAAUGCUAAUGAAAUGCCUUUCAAUCAUUUGGUAUCGGUGUCAAGACACUGAUGGGCGCGUAAAAGGUCCACUUAAAUCCAAGUGAGCUAGUUCCGUUUUAGAAGUUUUGGGUGGUCAGUGGAGGGAAUCUCCACUUCAAAAUGGAACAUGCCUGAUCCCAUGGGGUGGGCCACAGAAUGCACUAAAUGUCUCUCUCUCUGCGGCUGAGUGAAACCUGACCCCCAGGGCAGCGCCUGUCUUCACAAAGGAGAUUGUGUGCAUAUCAACAUCACAGUGGCUGCUGGCCCAGGAGUCCAUUGACCAUGCGAGGAAGAAUUGUCAACCAAUCACGACGCUCAUCUGGACAACGGCCAGGCUCUGUGUCAUCCAAACUGACGGAGCUACCUGCUGCUGAUGCUGAUAUGUUAAUGUAUGAGAUGAAUUGGAAUGAAGGGAACUCAUCUUUGACUGGAGCAGUCUUCCAGUAAGCAGGACCAGCCUACAUAAAAGUCAACCCCCACCCCAGUCAAGGAGGUAUUUGGCCUCUCCUCUCCCAACUCGAUACCUCUUGUCAUUCGCAUUGGCCAAGUGUCACCUGGCUCUCCCCUUUAACAGGUAUUUUUCAGUGACACUUAUCCGUCCAAUAAUCUGACCUUACAUUCCUGUCUUUCACUGUCUCCCUCAAAGGCGGGUCUGUGCUUCUGGAACGUAGAUUUCAAUGCUGUCUGAGCUCUCGGUGGCCGAGUUCUGGCGGAAAGAGGCGGCCUUCUUUGCGGCCAGCAGACGCCUGCGGGCCUCUUGCCUCUGCUUCUCCGCCGAAGCCGAAGAAGGGGUGGAAGAGGAGUCGGCGCUUUUCUCGCGGCCCAGCGACGGCCGUCCUUUAGCGGCCUUCCUUGACGCCGGAGUGGGCGCCUUCUCCUCGUCCUAGAAAGAGCGACGAUACAUGACAGACAAGGCAGGAGUGAUGAGAAAUGAGACACAAAGGCAAAAAGACUCUUGGGAAGCCUACACCAGAUUUGACAGACAGGACUUGGACAAACUUCUAUUUUUUUAAACAUAUCUGGUAUACGGAAGAGGAUUAGGGCCGGUGAAGAAAAAAAAAAAAGGGGGGACAGGAUUCUGACUUAAGAAAAGUCAGAAACUUGUCAUCCCCCCCUUUUUUUGGCCCUAAUCCUCUUCUGUACUGGUAGAUUUAAGUGACUCAGAGAAAAAAAAAAGACAGUACAAUUAUAGACAAUUGGCAAACAGUCAGUGAAAAUUGUUAGACACAAAUGGUAACAUGAACUGAUGAACAUGAGUUCAAAUCACAACAGAACAAGACACAUUGCAAGGCAACAUAAAAAUUACGAAAGGGCAUUAAAAAAAAAAAAAUCUGAUUCCACGGAAAAAUUGAUCAAUUAAUCACAAUGAAUUAAUCAAUGGAUCAGGUCACUUACCGCUUUACUACAACUAAAAACAUUUAUUUUUGAUGGCAAGUUUAGGAGGCAGAGAAAAUGUCAGUUUUUCUGCAAUCAAACUUGUGCCAAAACGCAAAUGUUAAUAAAUGUUAUCUAUUUUGA
Long non-coding RNA from Syngnathus typhle (broad-nosed pipefish), 1691 nucleotides. RefSeq lists it as uncharacterized. The record is from RefSeq and is a predicted model, not a curated record. The transcript is spliced from 4 exons. NCBI's taxonomy places the organism in Eukaryota, Metazoa, Chordata, Actinopteri, Syngnathiformes, Syngnathidae.